Meriones unguiculatus (Mongolian gerbil) is the source of this 1083-nucleotide long non-coding RNA. RefSeq lists it as uncharacterized. The record is from RefSeq and is a predicted model, not a curated record. The transcript has 3 exons. NCBI's taxonomy places the organism in Eukaryota, Metazoa, Chordata, Mammalia, Rodentia, Muridae.
AUGAAUAGUAAAUGGCAUUUCGACAUCCUGAAACACCACCACCGGAAAGAGAGGGAUUUGGCUGUUUGAGGGACUCAUUACAAAGACGAGAAGCAAUGAACAUUUACACAUUGGAAGAUGAGAGAUGCAACGGAGGAUGAACAUCCAGAGCUGCUUUUGAUGAUGCCCGGAUAUAUGAAAGCAACAUUCAGGUGAAGAACAGUUCGGGAGAAGUACCUUGAAAUAAUCUGAGGACAGUUUGGGGCUCCAUAGAGUGUCAAGACUAUGCUCUCUACGAGGAGAACUAACUCACAAAGCUUUGAGUGACGGUACAGAGAAAGAAAUCCGCACUGAAGACUCAAGAGACUUCGAAUGCAGGUCUUGAUUCCACCAAACAAUGUUUACAGAAACGUGCUGCUGCCAGAAGGUUGUCUGCCAGGAACCAUAGCUGCUGUGGAAUUGAUGAGUGUAAGGACCUCGUCAUACCCAAAAGAUAGUAUUUUACAGCAAUCACUCAUUCUCUGCAUAGUGACAGCUUGUGAGUCUCCGCCUUAGCCAGCCUGUGGGCAUGAAGAAUCUUCAUGAUGAGGGGCAAGAGUCACAUUACUCUGUAGGGAUUAGAGUAAGUAUUGGGCAGUUCGAUGCUUUACAUCUUAAACGAAAUACUAGUAAUAGGCUCUAUGAAUGUAGCAGCCAUGAAUUGUUGGCCAACUUUCCAGUUCCAAGCUUGAGUCUCCUCAAAUGGAGCAGGCCUCAUCUCUAAUUAGAAAGCUGUUGGUUGCCCGCUUCAUACUCAUGCACCAAUAGAUAUAUGUUUAUUUUCUUUCAUCAAAGUUAUUACUAUGUAGUCCUACGUGGACUGAAAUGAACUCGUAGACACAACUGGCCUCAAACUCAAAGUCACCUUCCUCUACCUCCCAAAUGUUGGGAUUAAAAGCAUGUGCCAUAAUGCUGAGCCCUAAUAAGCAUGUCUUGCCAAGGCAGCUCAUCAUUAUUAUGGUUUUCAUCAUUCACAGUUGGGUGGGGCUCUUAAUGGCUUUUCUCACUCAACAGCCUUCAUAGCAUCUUCUGGUUUUGUGUUUGAUAACAGGAAAUAAUUCUCUC